UGUCUGGUAUAAAAGAGUUUCUUCUGCUAUACCAAUCAUGUCAGAAAUAGUCCUCUUUAUUUGCAACAGCAAGUUAUUUCCCAGAUAAAACAGAUUGACAGUAAAUGUAAUUACCUAGGCUCAGUUUCUCAAAAAAACAUUUUUAAUGUUAAGAUCUUAUUAAAUGGUAAGAGUUGUAGGUAAUGCCUGCUGAGUUCAAUUCUAAUUUGAACUACAACUCUGAAAUCCUACAAUCUUUAAUGAAUACAAUGAUUAUGAUAAUUCUGUGAUUUAGUUUAUUGAGUACUUUUAAUGCUUUCAGUACUUUUAUUUUGUAUAACAUUUACAAUGCAGAGCUUUCAUCCGUAACUUUUACAGUUACAAUUGCGUUACAUCUACAGUGUUGUAUUAAUACUUUUACUGAUAGAAAAGUUUUGAACGCUUCCUCAACAUAAACAUCUCAACAUAAACAUGAUUUAGUUUUAUAACAUGAUAUCGUUGUAGCAGUUUGUAUUCAUUUUUAUAAUUAUUUUGUUGAUAUUUUAGGGUAAUUGCAAUACUUUUCUUAGAUGAUUAUUGUACCUUAAAAUCUCUUCCUGUUGCAACCCUAAUUGCUUUCUAAGAUUUUAUCCUUUAGGUUGUGAUCUGAUGGUGAUGGAGUUGUUGGUGCAUCAAGUGGAAAUAUGUUCCUGAAGGCAAGACGCAGAAUGUGCAGGAAGAGGAGAGGGCACUGCAUUCAAGCACUUAGCAGCUUCCUGUCUCUGCUUGAUGAUGAUAAUGUGCUGUCUUCAAAAGAGUUCAGUUCAAAAGAAAAGGGCAGUCAUUCUGAGAGGCCUUCCACAUUUUCUCAGGGAGGAUUCAUCCAAACUUCUAAAUAUUGCUGAGACUACAGAGAGUGAGGAGUAAAUAUUGAUAUCUUGCUGAUAAGAGAAGAGGAGGAUGUCAUUGACUUUUCAGUGGUACUGGAAGAGCAGAUCAUCCUGAAUAGCAUUCCUGACUAACCUAAUGCGGUAGCUAUGCUUGUUGGUCUGUUUUUCGCACUUAAUAUUGAUUACCCCAAGGAACUGUGCUACACCUUCAAAGUCAUUCAGAAGGUUCUUAUGAACAUCGGAGGUGAACAGUGUUCUGCCGGGAUUUACAGACUCAGAAACUGACUCUUGUGUAAAACUCUGUAGGUGGUAAAGCAGCCAGUGGAUAUUCUAAGAGUGUGCUGUGUUUAUCUGAAACUGAGCAUAAUAAUUUUUUCAGAAACGGUUAAGAAGACUACAUGCGAAGUUCUGUAUAAUUGAAUUGAUCAGGUGUAAAUGGGUUAUUCAGAGUGGUUUAAAGGGAUUAAUUUUAGAGAAAUGUACAGGCUCACAAUUAUUUUAAUGGUCAUAGUUUUGUUUGCCAUCCAUAUCUAUUAUAAUAUCUUUUAUUUAGUUAGAUCUGAAGUGUUAGAUGUAUUAUUCAGUCUCAUUUGUCCACUCUUGACUUCUUUUCUUUAACAAAGUAAAGUUGCUGAAAAGUUCCAAAAUGUAAGGAUUUAUUCUGCAAGGUGUGUCGGUCUGUAUUCAGGAUACUAUGCAAGUUUUUUUCUGGUAUUUAUUUUCCCUCCGAAAAAUGUAUAGUAGUGGCAGAUUCUUAAACAAUGCACAGAACAAUGUGCUGCACUUAACACUAAUUAUAACUGUAAUCAAAUGUGCAGUUGGUCAGGGUGUUCUUUAAGUACUGAGGAAAUCCACAUUAUACUCAGAUGUGUAGUAUUGCUAAUUUUAUCAUGAUACGAUGAAAUAUUGUCAUAUUGCUCAGCUAAGCUAAGUUGUUAGCUUACACGUGCUUGUGAAAAGCUUAAUCCAUCCUUUUUUUAAAGCUUUUAUAGGCUGUUUUUCCCAGCUGAGUAACUGGAGUUCUGUACUGUUGUAUAACUAG
Molecule: long non-coding RNA, 1890 nt
Organism: Astyanax mexicanus (Mexican tetra)
Lineage: Eukaryota; Metazoa; Chordata; Actinopteri; Characiformes; Acestrorhamphidae
Exons: 4
Source: RefSeq, a predicted model, not a curated record